RNAcentral lists this ribosomal RNA (732 nucleotides) under Bacillus licheniformis. RNAcentral describes it as "bacterial SSU rRNA". It matches the Rfam family "Bacterial small subunit ribosomal RNA", at positions 42 to 758 of the family's 1533-position model. The record is from RNAcentral. Lineage: Bacteria; Bacillati; Bacillota; Bacilli; Caryophanales; Bacillaceae.
GCGUGCUAUACAUGCAAGUCGAGCGGACAGAUGGGAGCUUGCUCCCUGAUGUUAGCGGCGGACGGGUGAGUAACACGUGGGUAACCUGCCUGUAAGACUGGGAUAACUCCGGGAAACCGGGGCUAAUACCGGAUGGUUGUUUGAACCGCAUGGUUCAAACAUAAAAGGUGGCUUCGGCUACCACUUACAGAUGGACCCGCGGCGCAUUAGCUAGUUGGUGAGGUAACGGCUCACCAAGGCAACGAUGCGUAGCCGACCUGAGAGGGUGAUCGGCCACACUGGGACUGAGACACGGCCCAGACUCCUACGGGAGGCAGCAGUAGGGAAUCUUCCGCAAUGGACGAAAGUCUGACGGAGCAACGCCGCGUGAGUGAUGAAGGUUUUCGGAUCGUAAAGCUCUGUUGUUAGGGAAGAACAAGUACCGUUCGAAUAGGGCGGUACCUUGACGGUACCUAACCAGAAAGCCACGGCUAACUACGUGCCAGCAGCCGCGGUAAUACGUAGGUGGCAAGCGUUGUCCGGAAUUAUUGGGCGUAAAGGGCUCGCAGGCGGUUUCUUAAGUCUGAUGUGAAAGCCCCCGGCUCAACCGGGGAGGGUCAUUGGAAACUGGGGAACUUGAGUGCAGAAGAGGAGAGUGGAAUUCCACGUGUAGCGGUGAAAUGCGUAGAGAUGUGGAGGAACACCAAUGGCGAAGGCGACUCUCUGGUCUGUAACUGACGCUGAGGAGCGAAA